RNAcentral lists this non-coding RNA (45 nucleotides) under Schistosoma margrebowiei. The record is from RNAcentral. Lineage: Eukaryota; Metazoa; Platyhelminthes; Trematoda; Strigeidida; Schistosomatidae.
AUCCAGCUGACGAGUCCUAAAUAUGACGAAACGCGUGUUCUGAAC